AGUUUGAUCCUGGCUCAGGACGAACGCUGGCGGCGUGCUUAACACAUGCAAGUCGAACGGUGAACCGCUUUCGGGCGGGGAUCAGUGGCGAACGGGUGAGUAACACGUGGGUAACCUGCCCUCCACUCUGGGAUAACUCCGGGAAACCGGGGCUAAUACCGGAUACGACCUUCAGGCGGCAUCGCCUCGGGUGGAAAGUUUUUCGGUGGAGGAUGGACCCGCGGCCUAUCAGCUUGUUGGUGGGGUAAUGGCCUACCAAGGCUUUGACGGGUAGCCGGCCUGAGAGGGCGACCGGCCACACUGGGACUGAGACACGGCCCAGACUCCUACGGGAGGCAGCAGUGGGGAAUAUUGCACAAUGGGCGAAAGCCUGAUGCAGCGACGCCGCGUGAGGGAUGACGGCCUUCGGGUUGUAAACCUCUUUCAGCAGGGACGAAGCGCAAGUGACUGUACCUGCAGAAGAAGCACCGGCUAACUACGUGCCAGCAGCCGCGGUAAUACGUAGGGUGCGAGCGUUGUCCGGAAUUAUUGGGCGUAAAGAGCUUGUAGGUGGCUCGUUGCGUCGGGAGUGAAAACCCGCGGCUUAACCGCGGGCCUGCUUCCGAUACGGGCGGGCUAGAGUUCGGCAGGGGAGACUGGAAUUCCUGGUGUAGCGGUGGAAUGCGCAGAUAUCAGGAGGAACACCGGUGGCGAAGGCGGGUCUCUGGGCCGAUACUGACACUGAGAAGCGAAAGCGUGGGGAGCGAACAGGAUUAGAUACCCUGGUAGUCCACGCCGUAAACGUUGGGAACUAGGUGUGGGGUCCAUUCCACGGGCUCUGUGCCGCAGCUAACGCAUUAAGUUCCCCGCCUGGGGAGUACGGCCGCAAGGCUAAAACUCAAAGGAAUUGACGG
This 893-nucleotide ribosomal RNA is filed under the name uncultured bacterium. RNAcentral's name for it is "bacterial SSU rRNA". It matches the Rfam family "Bacterial small subunit ribosomal RNA", at positions 10 to 916 of the family's 1533-position model. The record is from RNAcentral.